UACAGAGGGUGCAAACGUUGUUCGGAAUUAUUGGGCGUAAAGAGCUCGUAGGCGGUCUGUCGCGUCUGGUGUGAAAAUCCAGGGCUUAACCCUGGACCUGCAUCGGGUACGGGCAGACUAGAGUGCGGUAGGGGAGAUCGGAAUUCCUGGUGUAGCGGUGAAAUGCGCAGAUAUCAGGAGGAACACCGGUGGCGAAGGCGGAUCUCUGGGCCGUAACUGACGCUGAGGAGCGAAAGCAUGGGGAGCGAACAGG
Molecule: ribosomal RNA, 253 nt
Filed under: uncultured bacterium
Lineage: Bacteria
Description: partial 16S ribosomal RNA
Rfam family: Bacterial small subunit ribosomal RNA
Source: RNAcentral